This 238-nucleotide unclassified non-coding RNA is filed under the name soil metagenome. RNAcentral's name for it is "partial internal transcribed spacer 1". The record is from RNAcentral.
UAUCCGUCGGGGAACCAGCGGAUGGAUCAUUAAAGGAAAAAUUUGCUAAAUUUUUGGCAAAAAAUUAAACAUUAUUGAAUGAUGAAGCUUUUAAAUAUGAAAAGUGAAUUUAUUUUUUUAACGUAAAAACUGAAAUUUAUUAAUAUAAUACUCUUUAAUUUUUCCAGAUAUAUAAAUCUGGUAAAAAUGAAAGAAAAAAUCAUAGAAAUAACUAUUAACAAUGGAUAUCUUGGUUUUU